Molecule: ribosomal RNA, 883 nt
Filed under: uncultured bacterium
Lineage: Bacteria
Description: bacterial SSU rRNA
Rfam family: Bacterial small subunit ribosomal RNA
Source: RNAcentral
GUUUGAUCCUGGCUCAGAGUGAACGCUGGCGGCGUGCUUAACACAUGCAAGUCGAACGAGAACGGGCUAUAGCUUGCUAUAGUUGUCAGCUAAGUGGCGCACGGGUGAGUAAUGUAUAGGUAAUAUGCCUCUUACUAAGGGAUAACAAAUGGAAACGUUUGCUAAUACCUUAUAUUCCUUAUAAACAGAAGUUUAUAAGGGAAAGAUUUAUUGGUAAGAGAUUGGCCUGUAUUGUAUCAGUUAGUUGGUGGGGUAAUGGCCUACCAAGACAAUGACGCAUAACUGGUUUGAGAGGAUGAUCAGUCACACUGGAACUGAGACACGGUCCAGACUCCUACGGGAGGCAGCAGUGGGGAAUAUUGCACAAUGGACGAAAGUCUGAUGCAGCAACGCCGCGUGGAGGAUGACACAUUUCGGUGCGUAAACUCCUUUUAUAUAAGAAGAUAAUGACGGUAUUAUAUGAAUAAGCACCGGCUAACUCCGUGCCAGCAGCCGCGGUAAUACGGGGGGUGCAAGCGUUACUCGGAAUCACUGGGCGUAAAGAGCAUGUAGGCGGAUUGAUAAGUUUGAAGUGAAAUCCUAUAGCUUAACUAUAGAACUGCUUUGAAAACUGUUAAUCUAGAAUGUGGGAGAGGUAGAUGGAAUUUCUGGUGUAGGGGUAAAAUCCGUAGAGAUCAGAAGGAAUACCGAUUGCGAAGGCGAUCUACUGGAACAUUAUUGACGCUGAGAUGCGAAAGCGUGGGGAGCAAACAGGAUUAGAUACCCUGGUAGUCCACGCCCUAAACGAUGUACACUAGUUGUUGUGAGACUAGAUCUUGCAGUAAUGCAGUUAACACAUUAAGUGUACCGCCUGGGGAGUACGGUCGCAAGAUUAAAACUCAAA